This 937-nucleotide ribosomal RNA is filed under the name uncultured bacterium. RNAcentral's name for it is "bacterial SSU rRNA". It matches the Rfam family "Bacterial small subunit ribosomal RNA", at positions 8 to 916 of the family's 1533-position model. The record is from RNAcentral.
AGAGUUUGAUCCUGGCUCAGAACGAACGCUGGCGGCGUGGAUAAGACAUGCAAGUCGAGCGAUCAUCAGUUGGUAGCAAUAUCGGCUGGUGGGAGCGGCGCAAGGGUGCGUAACACGUGGGCAAUCUGCCGUGAAGUUUGGGAUAAUCCCGCGAAAGCGGGACUAAUACCGGAUGUGACAACUGGGAGGCAUUUUCUGGUUGUUAAAGUUGGGGACCGAAAGGCCUGACGCUUCACGAUGAGCCCGCGGCCUAUCAGGUAGUUGGCGGGGUAACGGCCCACCAAGCCUAAGACGGGUAGCUGGUCUGAGAGGACGACCAGCCACACUGGAACUGAGACACGGUCCAGACACCUACGGGUGGCAGCAGUCGAGAAUUUUUCACAAUGGGGGAAACCCUGAUGGAGCGACGCCGCGUGGGGGAUGAAUGGCUUCGGCCCGUAAACCCCUGUCAUUUGCGAUCAACCGUUAUUAUUUAAAAGAUGAUGACCUGAUAGUAGCGAAAGAGGAAGGGACGGCUAACUCUGUGCCAGCAGCCGCGGUAAUACAGAGGUCCCGAGCGUUGUUCGGAUUCACUGGGCGUAAAGGGUGCGUAGGUGGUGAGGUGUGUCGGAUGUGAAAUCCCGGAGCUCAACUCCGAAACUGCAUUGGAAACUACCUUGCUGGAGGGUUGGAGGGGGGACUGGAAUGCUUGGUGUAGCAGUGAAAUGCGUAGAUAUCAAGCGGAACACCAGUGGCGAAGGCGAGUCCCUGGACAACUCCUGACACUGAGGCACGAAAGCUAGGGGAGCAAACAGGAUUAGAUACCCUGGUAGUCCUAGCCGUAAAACGGUGCACGUUUGCUGUAAAAGGAAUCGACCCCUUUUGUGGCGUAGCCAACGCGUUAAACGUGCCGCCUGGGAAGUACGGUCGCAAGAUUAAAACUCAAAUGAAUUGACGG